This 421-nucleotide ribosomal RNA is filed under the name uncultured bacterium. RNAcentral describes it as "partial 16S ribosomal RNA". It matches the Rfam family "Bacterial small subunit ribosomal RNA", at positions 361 to 774 of the family's 1533-position model. The record is from RNAcentral.
AUUUUGGGCAAUGGGGGAAACCCUGAUCCAGGCAUUCCGCGUGUAAGAUGAAGGCCUUUGGGUUUUAAAGUACUUUUUGCAGAGAAGAAAAGGUAUCCCCUAAUACCAGAUACUUCUGACGGUAACUGCAGAAUAAGGCCCGGGCAACUACCUUCCAACAGCCGCGGUAAUACGUAGGGUGCAAGCGUUAAUCGGAAUUACUGGGCGUAAAGCGUGUGUAGGCGGUUCGGAAAGAAAGAUGUGAAAUCCCAGGGCUCAACCUUGGAACUGCAUUUUUAACUGCCGAGCUAGAGUAUGUCAGAGGGGGGUAGAAUUCCACGUGUAGCAGUGAAAUGCGUAGAUAUGUGGAGGAAUACCGAUGGCGAAGGCAGCCCCCUGGGAUAAUACUGACGCUCAGACACGAAAGCGUGGGGAGCAAACA